GCUGACACAGGAGAAUCGCUUGAACCUGGGAGGCAGAGGUUGCAGUGAGCCGAGAUCACACCAUUGCAUCCCAGCCUGGGGGACAAGAGUGAGACUUCAUCUCAAAAAAACAAAAGCAAAAACAAAAUAGAUAAAUAGAUCCAACAUCCAGGAGGUGUUGACUCUCAUACCUAGAACCUGGACAUGUAUGGAAUUUCUAAUCUCAUUCCUGGACUUUCCUGCAGGUGUGAUUGUGUGCAUCUGCUAAGCACCUUAGUGAUUUGAGUUUCCUGCCUUGACCCAGUCCACAGAUAAGAUUGUGACAUAUCGCUUGACUCUGCACCUUGAAGAUAUGACUUUCUCUUCCAGCCUUGGUGCUGCCCACAGGGUGGAUUAUGACAUACUGCUAAGCCCUGCACUCAGGUUGGAUUGUGACAUACACUUUAG
This 426-nucleotide long non-coding RNA is filed under the name Homo sapiens (human). Its description in RNAcentral is "non-protein coding LINC01858:15". Lineage: Eukaryota; Metazoa; Chordata; Mammalia; Primates; Hominidae. The record is from RNAcentral.